This 139-nucleotide small RNA is filed under the name Bacillus sp. (in: firmicutes). Its description in RNAcentral is "Bacillus sp. c-di-AMP sequence". It matches the Rfam family "c-di-AMP riboswitch aptamer (ydaO/yuaA leader)". From Rfam's summary of the family: This family represents a conserved RNA structure found upstream of the ydaO and yuaA genes in Bacillus subtilis and related genes in other bacteria. The ydaO/yuaA element is thought to act as a genetic "off" switch for the ydaO and yuaA genes in its native state. RNAcentral also lists the same sequence under 1 other name. The record is from RNAcentral. Lineage: Bacteria; Bacillati; Bacillota; Bacilli; Caryophanales; Bacillaceae.
AAUCUUAUACAGUCUAAUCCCGAAAGGGAACGGAGGAACCAUUUUUUUGGGGUUAAUUCUACAAAUUUGUAGAAGGGAUGUGAAACUCUUUCGCCAUCCUACCCGUCAGCUAACUUCGUCGGCUAAAGCGAAGGAGGUC